UCUGCUUAUUUCAAAACCCCGUUUUUAAUUUCUUAAAGAAGCGAGCCGUGGCAUGAAGCCUGUGUUCCGCGUAUUCGGUUGGCGUUUGAAGUUUUAUUCCUCCCGUGCCCCUUAUGCUCUCCGUCUCCUCCGUCACUCCAUCUCAUUCCCUAGCUCGAUCUGAAGUCCCUCACCUCUCGCUCUGCAAAAAACCCUACCCGUCCGCAUCUCACGCUCAAUCUUGAGGGAAGCAUCUCUCGCUUCUCUCGGCCCCUUCCAUUCCGCAUAUACCAUUUUGAGCUCGUCGUCUACCUCGGUGCCGACAGCCUCCACAUCCUUCUCCGCCUGAUAGCUUCUUCCAGGUGUCCCCCCGACGGUACCACUUGUAGUUGCGUGCAAGCAAGUUUUCGUUCUCCAUUUUGGUUUUCUCACAACCACGAUCUCCACCUCGCUUCCCCUCCUUUUCUCCUGCUCCGCUCCUCCAACCAGUAAUGCUUGCAGUGGCAAAUACCUCAUGCUAUGGCGGGUUUAUCUUUCCUCUUAUCGUUCUCUUCCGCAUUGCAUCCGCUUUUCGUUCUUCACUUGUCGUCGGCCAUGGAGUAGUAACAUCACGAAUUAUUCAAGCCUUAAAUUUCUUUAUGGAGUGGUUUGAUUUUAUGGUUGUGUGCCUUUAUUGGGAUUUGUUUUAGGGUUGAUCUUUGUGAUGUUGUGCUAUAGUGUUGUGGUGUCCUGUAAAAAAUAUAAUUGUUUGGUAAAAAUUGUGUUAAGAUUGAGGUUGUGGUGCUUUAGAAGUAGUUGUAAAUUGAUAUGGAAGUUAUAACAAA
This is a long non-coding RNA of Phalaenopsis equestris, 803 nucleotides long. RefSeq lists it as uncharacterized. The record is from RefSeq and is a predicted model, not a curated record. The transcript has 3 exons. NCBI's taxonomy places the organism in Eukaryota, Viridiplantae, Streptophyta, Magnoliopsida, Asparagales, Orchidaceae.